Molecule: non-coding RNA, 96 nt
Filed under: Blautia pseudococcoides
Lineage: Bacteria; Bacillati; Bacillota; Clostridia; Lachnospirales; Lachnospiraceae
Also listed under: 1 other name
Description: Blautia sp. YL58 Purine riboswitch aptamer
Rfam family: Purine riboswitch aptamer
About the family: Riboswitches are metabolite binding domains within certain messenger RNAs that serve as precision sensors for their corresponding targets. Allosteric rearrangement of mRNA structure is mediated by ligand binding, and this results in modulation of gene expression.
Source: Rfam by way of RNAcentral
AAAUAAAAUAUUUGUGAAGUUUAUAUAGGCUCAAAAUUGGUUGAGCGUCUCUACCAGCUACCGUAAUAGCUGCCUAUAAAUUUCCGCAUGAAGGAU